GACGAACGCUGGCGGCGUGCUUAACACAUGCAAGUCGAACGGAAAGGCCCUGCUUUUGUGGGGUGCUCGAGUGGCGAACGGGUGAGUAACACGUGAGUAACCUGCCCUUGACUUUGGGAUAACUUCAGGAAACUGGGGCUAAUACCGGAUAGGAGCUCCUGCUGCAUGGUGGGGGUUGGAAAGUUUCGGCGGAUGGGGAUGGACUCGCGGCUUAUUAGCUUGUUGGUGGGGUAGUGGCUUACCAAGGCUUUGACGGGUAGCCGGCCUGAGAGGGUGACCGGCCACAUUGGGACUGAGAUACGGCCCAGACUCCUACGGGAGGCAGCAGUGGGGAAUAUUGCACAAUGGGCGGAAGCCUGAUGCAGCAACGCCGCGUGCGGGAUGACGGCCUUCGGGUUGUAAACCGCUUUCGCCUGUGACGAAGCGUGAGUGACGGUAAUGGGUAAAGAAGCACCGGCUAACUACGUG
RNAcentral lists this ribosomal RNA (468 nucleotides) under uncultured bacterium. RNAcentral describes it as "partial 16S ribosomal RNA". It matches the Rfam family "Bacterial small subunit ribosomal RNA", at positions 28 to 507 of the family's 1533-position model. The record is from RNAcentral.